GAUGAAGAACGCAGCAAAAUGCGAUAAGUAAUGUGAAUUGCGGAAUUCAGUGAAUCAUCGAAUCUUUGAACGCACAUUGCGCCCGCCAGUAUUCUGGCGGGCAUGCCUGUUCGAGCGCCAUUUCAACCCUCAAGCACAGCUUGGUGUUGGGACUCGCGUUAAUUCGCGUUCCCCAAAUUGAUUGGCGGUCACGUCGAGCUUCCAUAGCGUAGUAGUAAAACCCUCGUUACUGGUAAUCGUCGCGGCCACGCCGUUAAACCCCAACUUCUGAAUGUUGACCUCGGAUCAGGUAGGAAUACCCGCUGAACUUAAGCAUAUCAAUAAGCGGAGGA
RNAcentral lists this unclassified non-coding RNA (332 nucleotides) under soil metagenome. RNAcentral describes it as "partial contains 5.8S ribosomal RNA, internal transcribed spacer 2, and large subunit ribosomal RNA". The stretch from base 1 to 120 matches the Rfam family "5.8S ribosomal RNA", at positions 35 to 154 of the family's 154-position model. The record is from RNAcentral.